This 437-nucleotide ribosomal RNA is filed under the name uncultured Anaerolineaceae bacterium. Its description in RNAcentral is "bacterial SSU rRNA". It matches the Rfam family "Bacterial small subunit ribosomal RNA", at positions 931 to 1382 of the family's 1533-position model. Lineage: Bacteria; Bacillati; Chloroflexota; Anaerolineae; Anaerolineales; Anaerolineaceae. The record is from RNAcentral.
AGCGGAGCGUGUGGUUUAAUUCGUUGCUACACGAAGAACCUUACCUGGGUUUGACAUAUAGGUUGUAGGGAACUGAAAAGGGACCGACCUUCGGGGAGCCUAUACAGGUGUUGCAUGGCUGUCGUCAGCUCGUGUCGUGAGAUGUUCGGUUAAGUCCGCUAACGAGCGCAACCCUCGUCGUAUGUUAUAUGUGUCAUACGAGACUGCCGGUAAAAGCCGGAGGAAGGUGAGGAUGAUGUCAAGUCAGCAUGACCUUUAUAUCCAGGGCUACACACACGCUACAAGUGGUCUGUACAAUGGGUAGCCAAGCCGCGAGGCGGAGCCAAUCCUGAAAGCAGGCCUCAGUUCAGAUUGCAGUCUGCAACUCGACUGCAUGAAGCCGGAGUUGCUAGUAACCGCAGGUCAGCAAUACUGCGGUGAAUACGUUCCCGGGUCUU